RNAcentral lists this unclassified non-coding RNA (248 nucleotides) under Hevea brasiliensis (rubber tree). The record is from RNAcentral. Lineage: Eukaryota; Viridiplantae; Streptophyta; Magnoliopsida; Malpighiales; Euphorbiaceae.
AAGCCAAGGCGAAGCUUUUGGCUGUGGCAGAAGAACUGGGUCACGAAAUCCGCGUGUUCACAAAUUCGGCAAAAUCUACAACUCCCAGUGAACCAUCUGCAUCUUAUGAAGAAGAACCAGAUGAUUUUUAUGAGCUUACACCGGAAGAUUAUUAUAGAAUCACUUCUGACCGUAUGGGAGCAAAAUUUCAAAUGCUGAAGACCCGUAAACUCCGGGAAGCAGAGGCUGAAGUGCAGAAAGCUGCUCGA